RNAcentral lists this ribosomal RNA (468 nucleotides) under uncultured bacterium. RNAcentral's name for it is "partial 16S ribosomal RNA". It matches the Rfam family "Bacterial small subunit ribosomal RNA", at positions 28 to 507 of the family's 1533-position model. The record is from RNAcentral.
GACGAACGCUGGCGGCGUGCUUAACACAUGCAAGUCGAACGGAAAGGCCCUGCUUUUGUGGGGUGCUCGAGUGGCGAACGGGUGAGUAACACGUGAGUAACCUGCCCUUGACUUUGGGAUAACUUCAGGAAACUGGGGCUAAUACCGAAUAGGAGCUCCUGCGGCAUGGUGGGGGUGGGAAAGUUUCGGCGGUUGGGGAUGGACUCGCGGCUUAUCAGCUUGUUGGUGGGGUAGUGGCUUACCAAGGCUUUGACGGGUAGCCGGCCUGAGAGGGUGACCGGCCACAUUGGGACUGAGAUACGGCCCAGACUCCUACGGGAGGCAGCAGUGGGGAAUAUUGCACAAUGGGCGGAAGCCUGAUGCAGCAACGCCGCGUGCGGGAUGACGGCCUUCGGGUUGUAAACCGCUUUCGCCUGUGACGAAGCGUGAGUGACGGUAAUGGGUAAAGAAGCACCGGCUAACUACGUG